RNAcentral lists this ribosomal RNA (805 nucleotides) under Vibrio alginolyticus. RNAcentral's name for it is "bacterial SSU rRNA". It matches the Rfam family "Bacterial small subunit ribosomal RNA", at positions 113 to 914 of the family's 1533-position model. Lineage: Bacteria; Pseudomonadati; Pseudomonadota; Gammaproteobacteria; Vibrionales; Vibrionaceae. The record is from RNAcentral.
AUGCCUAGGAAAUUGCCCUGAUGUGGGGGAUAACCAUUGGAAACGAUGGCUAAUACCGCAUGAUGCCUACGGGCCAAAGAGGGGGACCUUCGGGCCUCUCGCGUCAGGAUAUGCCUAGGUGGGAUUAGCUAGUUGGUGAGGUAAGGGCUCACCAAGGCGACGAUCCCUAGCUGGUCUGAGAGGAUGAUCAGCCACACUGGAACUGAGACACGGUCCAGACUCCUACGGGAGGCAGCAGUGGGGAAUAUUGCACAAUGGGCGCAAGCCUGAUGCAGCCAUGCCGCGUGUGUGAAGAAGGCCUUCGGGUUGUAAAGCACUUUCAGUCGUGAGGAAGGUAGUGUAGUUAAUAGCUGCAUUAUUUGACGUUAGCGACAGAAGAAGCACCGGCUAACUCCGUGCCAGCAGCCGCGGUAAUACGGAGGGUGCGAGCGUUAAUCGGAAUUACUGGGCGUAAAGCGCAUGCAGGUGGUUUGUUAAGUCAGAUGUGAAAGCCCGGGGCUCAACCUCGGAAUAGCAUUUGAAACUGGCAGACUAGAGUACUGUAGAGGGGGGUAGAAUUUCAGGUGUAGCGGUGAAAUGCGUAGAGAUCUGAAGGAAUACCGGUGGCGAAGGCGGCCCCCUGGACAGAUACUGACACUCAGAUGCGAAAGCGUGGGGAGCAGACACGAUUAGAUACCCUGGUAGUCCACGCCGUAAACGAUGUCUACUUGGAGGUUGUGGGCUUGAGCCGUGGCUUUCUUAGCUAACGCGUUAAGUAUACCGCCUGGGGAGUACAGUCGCGCCAUUAAAACUCAACUGAAUUGAC